AGAGCGAACGCUGGCGGCAGGCCUAAAACAUGCAAGUCGAACGCCGUAGCAAUACGGAGUGGCAGACGGGUGAGUAACACGUGGGAACGUACCCUUUGGUUCGGAACAACACAGGGAAACUUGUGCUAAUACCGGAUAAGCCCUUACGGGGAAAGAUUUAUCGCCAAAGGAUCGGCCCGCGUCUGAUUAGCUAGUUGGUGGGUAACGGCCCACCAAGGCUACGAUCAGUAGCUGGUCUGAGAGGAUGAUCAGCCACACUGGGACUGAGACACGGCCCAGACUCCUACGGGAGGCAGCAGUUAGGAAUCUUGGACAAUGGGCGCAAGCCUGAUCCAGCCAUGCCGCGUGAGUGAUGAAGGCCUUAGGGUUGUAAAGCUCUUUCAGCGGGGAAGAUAAUGACGGUACCCGCAGAAGAAGCCCGGCUAACUUCGUGCCAGCAGCCGC
RNAcentral lists this ribosomal RNA (444 nucleotides) under uncultured bacterium. RNAcentral's name for it is "SSU rRNA". It matches the Rfam family "Bacterial small subunit ribosomal RNA", at positions 26 to 518 of the family's 1533-position model. The record is from RNAcentral.